AAACCGCAAAGAACAGCCACUGCGUUUUGAUAAGUGGCUGUUCUUUUUUAUUGA
This 54-nucleotide unclassified non-coding RNA is filed under the name Pelosinus propionicus DSM 13327. RNAcentral describes it as "mir-6 microRNA precursor". The record is from RNAcentral. Lineage: Bacteria; Bacillati; Bacillota; Negativicutes; Selenomonadales; Sporomusaceae.